AUUGAACGCUGGCGGCAGGCCUAACACAUGCAAGUCGAACGGUAACAGGAAGAAGCUUGCUUCUUUGCUGACGAGUGGCGGACGGGUGAGUAAUGUCUGUGAAACUGCCUGAUGGAGGGGGAUAACUACUGGAAACGGUAGCUAAUACCGCAUAACGUCGCAAGACCAAAGAGGGGGACCUUCGGGCCUCUUGCCCUCUGGUGUGCCCAGAUGGGAUUAGCUAGUAGGUGGGGUAACGGCUCACCUAGGCGACGAUCCCUAGCUGGUCUGAGAGGAUGAUCAGCCACACUGGAACUGAGACACGGUCCAGACUCCUACGGGAGGCAGCAGUGGGGAAUAUUGCACAAUGGGCGCAAGCCUGAUGCAGCCAUGCCGCGUGUAUGAAGAAGGCCUUCGGGUUGUAAAGUACUUUCAGCGGGGAGGAAGGGAGUAAAGUUAAUACCUUGGCUCAUUGACGUUACCCGAAGAAGAAGAACCGGCUAACUCCGUG
This 490-nucleotide ribosomal RNA is filed under the name uncultured bacterium. Its description in RNAcentral is "partial 16S ribosomal RNA". It matches the Rfam family "Bacterial small subunit ribosomal RNA", at positions 30 to 507 of the family's 1533-position model. The record is from RNAcentral.